Molecule: ribosomal RNA, 468 nt
Filed under: uncultured bacterium
Lineage: Bacteria
Description: partial 16S ribosomal RNA
Rfam family: Bacterial small subunit ribosomal RNA
Source: RNAcentral
GACGAACGCUGGCGGCGUGCUUAACACAUGCAAGUCGAACGGAAAGGCCCUGCUUUUGUGGGGGGCUCGAGUGGCGAACGGGUGAGUAACACGUGAGUAACCUGCCCUUGACUUUGGGAUAACUUCAGGAAACUGGGGCUAAUACCGGAUAGGAGCUCCUGCUGCAUGGUGGGGGUUGGAAAGUUUCGGCGGUUGGGGAUGGACUCGGGGCUUAUCAGCUUGUUGGUGGGGUAGUGGCUUACCAAGGCUUUGACGGGUAGCCGGCCUGAGAGGGUGACCGGCAACAUAGGGGCUGAAAUGCGGCCCAGACUCCAUCUGGAGGCAGAAGUGGAGAAUAAUGCACAAUGGGCGGAAGCCUGAUGCAGCAACGCCGCGUGCGGGAUAGAGGCCUUCAGGUUGUAAACCGCUUUCGCCUGUAACGAAGCGUGAGUGACGGUAAUGGGUGAAGAAGCCCCGGCUAACUACGUG